GCUCCGUGCCCGAGGAGUAGCCUGCACACUUCCAGCUUUCCUCUUCCUGCAGCAGCUGUCAGGGCUAGAGAAAGCAUUGGCACCAACAUCAGCUCUUGGCUUAUUUGGCUUUUGGACACAUGCACAAUAGCCUCACCAGUCAAUGCCAACAAGUAUUAAAAAAUGAGUCAAUGUGUGACUUAUGCAAGAAUCAGCAAAGGACUUGUCUUCCAGCUUCUAAAGCCUACUAACUUCCAUUUUCUUCUAACAAGUGAGUCAAAUAGUGAAUUUCCUGUUACUCAUUUUUAUCAUUUUCAAACACAGUCAAAUAGAACUUUUUUUUAAAAUUCGAAUGAAUGCUGAAAGUAAAGGAAAUUACAACCACUACAGGAAGAAGUAAAUUUUUCUUUUUUAGCACUUAUCUUACCCAUUCCCUCCUCAGUUGAUGAAACUGCACUGCGUAACAUUAUAACAACUGUUAAGAGCUGAACAACUGGAAAGUAACUGUUAUGGAUAUCAAUAUUACAAGCAAAAGAGUCAAGUCUUGUUCAAAAAUCCCCCUUUUAGGGAGUUCACUUCCUCAGUGAGUGAACAUUCUCAAUGUAUUAUGCAAGGAUUUCAAUAAAAAACACUGACAGGAAAAUACCGAAGAACAAAAUUAGUUUAAAAACAGAUAUAAGGCUUUUGGAAAUCUGCUGGAUUUGCAACAAGGGUUCCUACACGUGUAGGAACAAAGCACAUCUGCUUCUCUAGGAUGUGAGAGGCCACUGACCAUCACCCCAGUGCUGCUCCCCCACCCCUGGCUGUUUCCACGGAAUGGAAAUGCCACUCACAAGACACAACCAGGGAACUGCAGUGCAGGCAUUACAGCCUGCCUUAAAAACUACAUUUGGCCUUUCCCAGAUGUCCAAAGGCAGGUCUCUCCUUCUACUGCCUAAUCAGAACAAAUGAGGCUAUGGCCCAGCAUUUCCUGAAAACUAAUGAUAUUUAAACAAAGGUUCUCAGAUAGAGGAUCCCAUAAAAUUCCACACUAAAACUUAAGCACUGUAUUUCCACAAUUUUCCAUUUAGUUAAAAAGUCAGUAAUUUACAGUAAUUUUAAUAUAAAAUAGCCCUUCAAUAUGUGAGAUGCAUAGAUUCAGCAAGUUAGAACCAUACUUAUAAAGUGCAUUUUAUUAUUAAAACUGGUAUUUUCCAUUAUUUUUAUUAUGGAGAAUUACAUUUAAAAAGUAAGAUAAAAAUUAAAACCUCUUUAUUCUUAAAUUAGCAAUGCUAAUUAUGAAACACACAAGAAGGGAAAUACCUGUUUCUCCCCACAAGGCAUCAGUGUCAUUGAUGUCCAUGUCAUGGUCUUUUUCAACUGUCAGGAUGUAGCGAACCACCUGCCAAAAACAGUGAGCAGAGAUGUGCUGAGCCACAAGAGCAUCAGUUGUCACUCAUGUGAUACAAGGGAGAAAAUGAUGUAAAACAAGUGAGAGUGCUUCUUUCUCAAUGCAUAUAAUCAAUAGAAAAGAAAAUCAGUAUUACUCAAAACAAAUUCAGUAGGACUGAAUGACUUUAAGACAAGUGAAUGCUAUUGAAAACAGUUUAAAAAAAGCCCAGUGCUCUUCUGUGAAUUUGUUGUUUGGCAUGACUAGGAUUUAAUGAGUUCCUAUGUGGCCUAUAUAGAACAGAAUAAUCAAAAUAAACAAUGGCAAAAAUAAAGCCUCCCAGUUCAGUGAGGAAAUUCCAGAUCAUCUAAAACAAGAGAGCAAAAAUGAGAAUAUUUGCAUACAUUUUGUGAAAUGGUGAUACCUAGGUUUUUUCCUUCCACAUUGCUUAUAGCUUACCUGUUUUUCUAAAUUUCUUCCCAGAAUGGUCUAAGCAUAUGUCAAUAAAUGGUAAUUUUUAAGGCUGAAAUAAGCUUUUAAUUAAGUUUUGCUGUGUUUCUACAAUAUUAAGGAAAUCUGUGUUUUGAAACCACCUGCUAAAAGAUCAUUAAAUGAAAACUUUUUCUCCUGACUGUUUUCAAUAGAUUUUCUAAUAGGGUACAUGGUCACUGAGGCUGCAGUCAACAGGUGAGGGAGGAGAAUCAUACUAACAAGAAGGAAAGAACAAAGGCAGGAAAAGAGAAAGGAUCUGUGUGUUUUCAGGCUGUCUGAAAACUGUUGUAUACAAUGUAUGGAAAAUCCUAGGAUUCAAAAUACUAGGACAUAAUUUAUUAAAAUUCAUGAAACACACAGAUCUUCUUUCCAGCUAGGAAUACAGCUUCUGAAUGUCUUAAAAAAUAGGGAAAGAUGGACAUUUUUCAGGUAUUUAUUUAUGAGUAAUGUGAUCUCUUUUGUUGAUAUUCAGGAGUUGACUGUUUUCAUUUAAUCAGUGGACAGCAAACAAGAAUUUUCAUGGAAGUAAAGGAAUUAUCCAUUCAUCCAAGUUAACCAUAGCUCAGAAUCCUCAAGUUUGCAUUGUAAGACAGCAAUAGCUUAUGAAUCAUAUAAGAAAUUAACUGCACAUAGAUACUUCUAUACUUGGAUCAUCUAAACAACUUCAAAGAUCAGACUCUUUAUCUUAUAGCAACUUAAAACUAGAUUUAAAAGAAGUAAAUAUUCAAACAGCUUUAUUGAAGAGAUUGUUUCCAUUUUGCUACACCACUUACUACAUAACUAAGUCCCCUUGCACAGCUGAUCUUCAUUCAAGUAUCUUUACCUACCCAUUACUUCUCUAUCAAGUAACAGUUUGCAGUUUAUUUUCCCAAUGAACAGAAGACAUACUUGUAUUACCUAAAUAUCUAAAGCAUUUUAAGUACUUCUUAUGUGUUUAUUUUUAGUGUUCCUUCCCAAAUUUCUGUCUAAAGUGACACUGAGCUGAAGUCUGUAAGUUGGCAUGUGCAUCAAGCUAAAAACUGAAGCCUGUGUGAUCGCAUGCAAUGAAAAA
Long non-coding RNA from Haemorhous mexicanus (house finch), 2891 nucleotides. RefSeq lists it as uncharacterized. The transcript is spliced from 2 exons. NCBI's taxonomy places the organism in Eukaryota, Metazoa, Chordata, Aves, Passeriformes, Fringillidae. The record is from RefSeq and is a predicted model, not a curated record.